AUUAAGUGUCUUGAGGAUUAGCAUAACGAAAAGUCUCGUGUCUGUGAGGAAGAGCAACUCAUUAAAUGGUUAUGUGCCUUAUGCAGAGGGAUCAAACAAACUGGGAUCAUUUGGACAUGGGCCAACACAGGCAAAGGGAGGGCUGGAUGAUCUUUGAAGUCUCUUCCAACUGGAUGUAUUCAAUGAUGAGGAAAGUGAGUCAUAGGUAUGAUUCAGAACCUCGGAGGAUCACAGCACACAGACAACUCAAAGGUUGCAUCAAAUAAUGUAUCUGCAACUCUGAAGAGGCUCCAGGUUAUGAAGCUUUGCCAUCUUCCUUAUGACUGGAUGCAUUUGCUGCCUCUGUGUUUGAUGUGCCAGGACAGUGGUCAUUUCAUCAAGUGCUUUGUCCUCAUACCUGCUGAAGGAAGCUGCAGAGGGAGGCACUGAAGUAAUGCACCAAAUCAACAUGGUAAAUUACACACAGCAGAACACUAAAUACAGGAAAAAAAAAAGCAAAGAGAAGACUGAGACUGGAUGAUCUUGGAGGUCUCUUCCAACCUGGUUGAUUCUACGAUUCUAUGACUAAGAGCAAGCAAAAGGUGUGUGAAGGUUGAGAGCACUACCUACAUCUCAGGAAACCAGCUCGCCAGAAUAAUACUGGGACACACUGAGAAGAUCAGGACUGUUUGCUUGAUUGAUGCGGAG
This is a long non-coding RNA of Pogoniulus pusillus (Red-fronted tinkerbird), 687 nucleotides long. RefSeq lists it as uncharacterized. The transcript has 5 exons. The record is from RefSeq and is a predicted model, not a curated record. Lineage: Eukaryota; Metazoa; Chordata; Aves; Piciformes; Lybiidae.